Molecule: small nucleolar RNA, 132 nt
Organism: Pteronotus mesoamericanus
Lineage: Eukaryota; Metazoa; Chordata; Mammalia; Chiroptera; Mormoopidae
Product: small nucleolar RNA SNORA31
Exons: 1
Source: RefSeq, a predicted model, not a curated record
AAUCCAAUUAUCAAAAAACAAAAUAAAAAACACAAUAAGUUCUUUUGGUUUGCACUAGGAUGCGAAAGAAAAUAAUCCCCGCGCUUGCUUUCUGUCUGUGUGGCAGCCCAGAUUGAAUAGGGGACGACAUCU